GCCGUGCCGAGCCGAGGAUGCUCCGCGCCCGGCUCCCCCGCUAACAGGCACCUCGCGAGGCAGGCAGCAUACUGCCGGCAGCCGGCCCGGCCCCGCUACCCAGGUUGCACGCUCCAGAGGGCUGCAGUGGGAAGGAGGCAGCUGCACAAUGAGCAUCAAUGUUAAUGGAUACUUUCUUUGGAAAAUCCUUCAUGGUUUGGCCAGGGUACAGGCUAAAUCCUGCCUUUACCCUGUGCAUCAGGACAAGCGUUUGAUAAGAGGAACAGAAAACGUGCAGCAGCAGGAUAGAUCCACCCUUUAGUAUGCAAAGCAUGUCCACUAGGUGAUGUACAUGCUGCAAGAGCUGCCAUAUCACCUGCUUGUCUCCCUUCAUGCUAUUGUUUGCCCUCUGCUUUUGGUCGUGAUGAAAAUGUAUUAAGUUCCUUCCAAAUCAAAAGAAAGAGGCUAUCUACUUUCAGGAGUUUGCAAGCUCCGCGCUGAUGUAUAUUUUGAUGUCUUCUCCUUGUCUAAUGUGAUAGAUUUUAGCCUUGUUUCAUGUAUAUUUAUUUGGGGAAUUCCUUAAUUAAAUUAUAUGCUAAGGACA
Long non-coding RNA from Oxyura jamaicensis (ruddy duck), 583 nucleotides. RefSeq lists it as uncharacterized. The record is from RefSeq and is a predicted model, not a curated record. NCBI's taxonomy places the organism in Eukaryota, Metazoa, Chordata, Aves, Anseriformes, Anatidae. The transcript has 2 exons.